RNAcentral lists this ribosomal RNA (1394 nucleotides) under Plethodontohyla bipunctata (forest digging frog). Its description in RNAcentral is "partial 16S ribosomal RNA". It matches the Rfam family "Bacterial large subunit ribosomal RNA", at positions 371 to 2597 of the family's 2925-position model. Lineage: Eukaryota; Metazoa; Chordata; Amphibia; Anura; Microhylidae. The record is from RNAcentral.
GCCUAGACACUAGCCCCACAAAUUAUCUGCCACACCCCCACUAAAUAAAACAUUUUCACCAUUAAGUAACGGCGAUUAAAAAAUGACUAAGAGCUAUAAAAAUAGUACCGCAAGGGAAACCUGAAAUAAAAUGAAAACCUAAAGCACAAUACAGCAAAGCCUAAAUCUUGUACCUUUUGCAUCAUGGUCUAGCUAGUUUAAUCAAGCAAAACGCAUUUAAAGUUUGACCCCCCGAAACUAAGCGAGCUACUUUAAAACAGCCUUUAAGGGCCAACCCGUCUCUGUAGCAAAAGAGUGGGAUGAUUUUAAAGUAGAGGUGACACACCUAUCGAGCCUAGAGAUAGCUGGUUAUUCAAGAAAAGGAUUUUAGUCCACCUUUAAGCUUCCUAAUUAACACUAAACACUCAAUAAACUUAAAAGCCACUCAAAUAGGGUACAGCCUAUUUGAACUAGGAAACAACCUCAAAUACAGGGUAAUGAUAUUCUACAUGUGACUAAGUAGGCCUAAAAGCAGCCAACUUCUAAAUAGCGUCCAAGCUUUACCACCAACCAUUACUAAUCCCAUUAUUUCUGCACAACCCGCAACCACUACUGAAUGACCCCAUAUCCAUUAUGGGACACAUUAUGCUAGAACUAGUAACAAGAAGAAGCACUUCUCCAAAAUUUAAGCGUAAGCCAAAAUGAACAACUCACCGGCACUCACCGCCAUCAAGCCUACAGUACUAACCAUACAAGAAAACCCUACUACACCCGGCGUUAACCUUACACUACAUUAUUACUGGAAAGAUUAAAAAAGGAGGAAGGAACUCGGCAAAUAUUAGCCCCGCCUGUUUACCAAAAACAUCGCCUCUUGACAAACUAUGAGAGGUCUAGCCUGCCCAGUGACCAAAAGUUAAACGGCCGCGGUACCCUAACCGUGCAAAGGUAGCACAAUCACUUGUUCUUUAAAUCAGGACUAGUAUGAACGGCCCCACGAGAGCUAUACUGUCUCCCCCCUUAAAUCAGUGAAACUGAUCUCCCCGUGAAGAAGCGGGGAUAUCCCUAUAAGACGAGAAGACCCCAUGGAACUUUAACACUUGUACCACUGCCCAUGCCUACACCAACUACCCAGCAAAUAUGGCUACAAGUCUUUCGGUUGGGGCGACCACGGAGAAAAACCAAACCUCCACGAUGAUAAAUAUAUAUAAUUAAAGAGCCACUACUCUAAAAAUCAAUAAACUGACAUAGUUUGACCCAAACACUUUGAUCAACGAACCAAGCUACCCUGGGGAUAACAGCGCAAUCCAUUUCAAGAGAUCCCAUCGACAAAUGGGCUUACGACCUCGAUGUUGGAUCAGGGUACCCCAGUGGUGCAGCCGCUACUAAUGGUUCGUUUGUUCAACGAUUAAAACCCU